UGGGAAGCCAGUUUGGUUCCAACUUUUCCAUGAUGUGACUUGGAGAGCCAGAUCUGCUCACUUGUCUGUUAUCUGCAGUAUUUUCAAUGAUUCUAAUAUUUCUCUGCAAGAAAGGAAGGCAAUGUGAAUUUCUGCAGCAGAUAAGAUUGAAGGGAAGAAGUAAGUGAGAAGAGUGGAAGAACAGAGUUUCUACUGAUUAUAUAUGGAAGACCUGCCAAACUGGUGAUUCUAGAAUAUUAAAUCUGGGCUCCAUUGACUGGGAUAAAGGCUGGAUGCCCAUGAGGAAGGAGAC
RNAcentral lists this long non-coding RNA (292 nucleotides) under Equus caballus (horse). RNAcentral's name for it is "lncRNA (ENSECAG00000058425.1)". Lineage: Eukaryota; Metazoa; Chordata; Mammalia; Perissodactyla; Equidae. The record is from RNAcentral.